GUGCCAGCAGCCGCGGUAAUACGGAGGGUGCAAGCGUUAAUCGGAAUUACUGGGCGUAAAGCGCACGCAGGCGGUUUGUUAAGUCAGAUGUGAAAUCCCCGGGCUCAACCUGGGAACUGCAUUUGAAACUGGCAAGCUAGAGUCUCGUAGAGGGGGGUAGAAUUCCAGGUGUAGCGGUGAAAUGCGUAGAGAUCUGGAGGAAUACCGGUGGCGAAGGCGGCCCCCUGGACGAAGACUGACGCUCAGGUGCGAAAGCGUGGGGAGCAAACAGGAUUAGAUACCCCAGUAGUCC
RNAcentral lists this ribosomal RNA (292 nucleotides) under uncultured Serratia sp. RNAcentral describes it as "partial 16S ribosomal RNA". It matches the Rfam family "Bacterial small subunit ribosomal RNA", at positions 505 to 796 of the family's 1533-position model. Lineage: Bacteria; Pseudomonadati; Pseudomonadota; Gammaproteobacteria; Enterobacterales; Yersiniaceae. The record is from RNAcentral.